RNAcentral lists this small RNA (179 nucleotides) under Paludibacter propionicigenes WB4. Its description in RNAcentral is "Bacteroidales-1 6S-Bacteroidales RNA suggested". It matches the Rfam family "Bacteroidales-1 6S-Bacteroidales RNA suggested". Lineage: Bacteria; Pseudomonadati; Bacteroidota; Bacteroidia; Bacteroidales; Paludibacteraceae. The record is from Rfam by way of RNAcentral.
AACCGCAUUGUUCUGAGAUUGGAAAACUCAACGUUAAAAAAUUUAACGAGUAAUGUUCGGUUUUUAAUGGCGGGCUGCGCCUUCGGGUAUCCCAUGUGGACGGCAGAUUACAACGAAAACUAACAUCUCAAAUCCUAUUUAUAGGAGUUUUCUCAACUAAUGGCAAUGCGGCUUUUUUC